CCGCUGGCGGCAGCAUGUGGUCCCUGUGGCUGGUGGCAGUUCUUGCGCUUGCGCCGUGGCCGGCCGGGCCGCCGGCGCUGGUGUGCAGCGCCCCGGAGGCGCGGCCGCAGCCGGAGCCCGAGGCCUGGCCCGGCCCCAUAGCCUCGCCCGAUCCUCGGCCUGUCGCCCCAAUUGGCCCUGCUCUGCGACUCAUCUAUACGUUGUGCAAAGUUCACAAGAGAUGCAACAGGUGGCUGCAGUUCAAGAAAUGCAUAGCAAAGCAGAAGAUAGGUAAAUUUUUCCGGAGAGUGUUCAGAAGAAGAAGGCGCUCGAGGCGUAUCAGGAGAUGCAUUAAAUAAAGACUUGUCGGCACUAAUGAGCAGGCUCGCAGUCCAUGCAUACGCAUCUGGCACGCGCGCACUGUAUCACAGAGGCAAAGGGUUUUCAAACAGGCUCCUAUUGAAACAUGGUUCGCAUUCCAGCGCUAUAAUUGGAUCAAAGUAUGCACUAAGAAACUGGCUAGCGUUGGCAGUUUGCCAAGCGGGUGAACAAUUCAGCACGAUGUGUACAAAACUGAAAUAUAAAAUGCAGCAUGAUAUAUUA
Molecule: long non-coding RNA, 582 nt
Organism: Pollicipes pollicipes
Lineage: Eukaryota; Metazoa; Arthropoda; Thecostraca; Pollicipedomorpha; Pollicipedidae
Exons: 2
Source: RefSeq, a predicted model, not a curated record